Molecule: ribosomal RNA, 313 nt
Filed under: uncultured Polaribacter sp.
Lineage: Bacteria; Pseudomonadati; Bacteroidota; Flavobacteriia; Flavobacteriales; Flavobacteriaceae
Description: bacterial SSU rRNA
Rfam family: Bacterial small subunit ribosomal RNA
Source: RNAcentral
GAUGAACGCUAGCGGCAGGCUUAACACAUGCAAGUCGAGGGGUAACAGGAAAAAGCUUGCUUUUUUGCUGACGACCGGCGCACGGGUGCGUAACGCGUAUAGAACUUACCUUUUACAGAGGGAUAGCCUUUAGAAAUGAAGAUUAAUACCUCAUAGUAUUGAAACUUGGCAUCAAGAUUUAAUUAAAGAUUUAUCGGUAAAAGAUGGCUAUGCGUCCUAUUAGCUAGAUGGUAAGGUAACGGCUUACCAUGGCGACGAUAGGUAGGGGCCCUGAGAGGGGGAUCCCCCACACUGGUACUGAGACACGGACCAG